This 253-nucleotide ribosomal RNA is filed under the name Anaerolineaceae bacterium. RNAcentral describes it as "partial 16S ribosomal RNA". It matches the Rfam family "Bacterial small subunit ribosomal RNA", at positions 524 to 776 of the family's 1533-position model. The record is from RNAcentral. RNAcentral also lists the same sequence under 1 other name. Lineage: Bacteria; Bacillati; Chloroflexota; Anaerolineae; Anaerolineales; Anaerolineaceae.
AACGUAGGAGGCGAGCGUUAUCCGGAUUCACUGGGCGUAAAGCGCGUGCAGGCGGUUUGGUAAGUUGGGCGUGAAAGCUCCCGGCUCAACUGGGAGAGGUCGUCCAAAACUACCAGACUAGAGAGCGAUAGAGGAAAAUGGAAUUCCCGGUGUAGUGGUGAAAUGCGUAGAUAUCGGGAGGAACACCAGUGGCGAAGGCGAUUUUCUGGAUCGUUUCUGACGCUCAGACGCGAAAGCUAGGGUAGCAAACGGG